Molecule: long non-coding RNA, 1257 nt
Filed under: Vulpes vulpes (red fox)
Lineage: Eukaryota; Metazoa; Chordata; Mammalia; Carnivora; Canidae
Description: lncRNA (ENSVVUG00000014490.1)
Source: RNAcentral
GGCUAUGGACCUAGGACUUCCUGCCCCAGGGAGACAAGUACAAGAGCAGCAGCAGAUGUAAUCAGGACCCCGUCUGGGGUAACAGCCUGGAGCAGAUGCUGUCUAUGAGUGGUCUCUAUGUGCCAGCUGUGGCAGGGUGAGUGGGUGGGCUGAUUAUGAUUAAAUACAGGAUUGAGACAGGCUCACACAUAUGGGAAAUGUUAAGCUGGUUUACUUGCUGUAUUUCUGGUCUAGCCUCAAAUUUUCUCCAGCUGGACACUUCUGCAUAGUGAGAAAGCACAAAUCCACUUGGUGGAACACUGGAACAUCCUCAAACUUCCGGACUGACAUAGAUAAUCCAGCGUGAGGUGAUGGAACAUUAGGGAACUCAGCUAUGCAGAGUUGGGGAGGCAGAGAUGGAAGAGAUGAAAAAGGAAACGAAGUUCAGAUAUCCAGAUGUUCUGAGCUGUGGACAGAAGCUGACAUUCCCAAACAACCAUAUUCUGACCCCAUCCAGAUGUUCUGGCCUUACUUCUCAGCUGAUCCAUACUGAGGAAUCUUGCCCUGCCAGGAAACAUAGAGCACCAGAGCCAGGAACACAAAGAGGAAAGCUAAUGUGAUGCAGAAUUUUCUAUCCACUUAUGGGGUUCAGGACACGCCAAAAUAUGGUACUUUGGCAUGUUGAAUAUCUUAAGCUGAAGGAGUUUGAGAAAAUGACAGAAGCAGAAAGGCCACUCUGACCUCUCCACCUCGCCCUUCUGCCCUGAAGGCCAGAGAUAAAUCUCCCCUGUGAAAGUACCCUCCUAUGCCACAAGGAAAAGAGACACAGAGAGAGAGUGAAUGGAGAUUUCUCAACUAUAUUAAAUAGCCUUUAUCUUCUAACUUACUUCUUCCCCACUUACUAAUAGUUCAAACUCUUUUGUAUGGUCAAUUCUUCCCAAUCGUAUUGUUUCUUUGUCUAAAAGGUAUAAAAGCUUCUUGCUCUUAUGAACGCUCCCAUGUAAAUGUAAAAAUUUAGGAAAAUUCAUAUGAUUUUCUUCUGUUUGUCAGUUUAAUUUUCAGGCCUAGCCUAGGACCUGAGAACGGUCAAGGAAAACUUUUUCUCCCCUGUGCCAAUUAGCCUCUACAUCCACCUAAGUAGAUUCAAGCAGAACUAGAAAUCCUGAUGAGCCAGCAACACAUUUGGUAAGCUGUGCUUUGGGUCACAGUUGAUUUUAGAGAGUUCUCUUUUCAGCAUUUUCACCUCUCCUCCCUCCCCCCACCCCACCCCCAAACCUG